CAAUUUAAUAAAUACAACCAUUGAUUAAAUAAUUGUAAUGUUCAUGACUUUAUCAUUUGGUUGAUUGGAUUAUUUUAAGGGUUGUUGUAUUGUAAAACAGUAAACAAAUAAUCAAUAAGAGUAAAAAACCUUUUGAUUUUCCUGUGAAGGGAGAGAAUUUUGAAAAUGAAUAUCCUGUCCUGGUAGAAUCUAGAGUAAAUAAUUUUUACUGGACAGGACAAAAAUGAAUAUUCUUCAACAAGAAAUGCAGGAAUCAAGUAAAAAUAAUAAUUAAGAAUGCAUAGCAACAGAUGAAAAUGAAUAUUCAAACUGCAAAAAAUCUUAUUCCCUAACCAGAAUAUCAAAAAGUUGUUCCCUUACCUCUAAAAAUCACCAUAUAAAAUGAUGUACAAAAGCAGUAGUUAAUAUUAGGAUCCUAUAGGGUAGCGCCUUAGGUCACAAGGUCACAUCAGUCGAAAAGGUGCCCGCCAAAGCUUUCAGGUAGGAGGUCAAAUUUGACUAUGUUGGAGGGCUUCAUUAAUAUGGUGUUUAAAUAUGAUAUAUAUUGAUUGUUUGCAUGUCUAUCAGAUUUUUUAGGGAGUCAGGUUUUAGGGUUUGGUUUUGUCUGAUGAACUUCUCAAGUAUUUUAUUUGAUAAUUUCUUAUAUCCUUUUUGACAUAUAACUAUUUUAAACAUAUUCUUAUUCUUAAAUUUCAAAUUUACAAACUCCAGUUUCUUCUCUGAACUGGAAAGAAUCCAAAUGUUAAAAACAUGUCAUAUACUAAUAUUUACUUUAUAUACAUGUAGGGACUAUUUCUUUCAUGAAAACAUUGGCCAAACGUACUGACUUGGGCAUAUCUGUGAUACAUUAAAAGAUCCUUACUUUUAACAUUGGAUUCCGAGCAUGCAGCAGUUUUUACAAAAAAACUAUAUGGAAAAAAAAAAAUCUGUAAUACAAAAAUGAUGGGGAUGGGUAUAAUGGAUCACUUCCACCAUCAUUUGCCAUGGAACAAAGCUAGAUGUCCAACCUUUCCUAAGUCAGGAGCCUGUUAUCGACUGUUUGUUGCUGUUUGUCAUAUAACAAAUUGGUGUACUGUAAAUUACUUUAAUACAUCAGUUCGAUUGUUUUCUCUUUUUGUUAUCCAGGGGCAAUUCAUACCUUACUAUACUUAUGUGUUUGGUUUAUUAUUGAAGGCAUUACAUUGACAUGUGAUUGCUUACAUUCUUGACCUUCUGUAUGUGGCAGAUAGUUGUCUCAUUUGCAAUCAUACGAUGUCUCCUUAUUGUUUUAUAACUAUAUAAAACGAUGAGGAGAAAAUAAAAUCCAUUUCAUAUUUAUUAUUCAAAUUAUGCAUGUCAAAAACAUAUGAUCAGAUUACUGUUCUUCCUUUAAUUAUUCUUCUACUGUUGACUAGACGUUUAAGGAAGUUCCCCAUCAUGUGACUCAUUGUGAUUUCAUCAUAAUAGGUCCUUACAACAUAGCUUUUAUUCUCCUUGUGUUUUUUUUUUAACCUGUCGUAAAGAUUUAAUUUAUAUUUUGUAUAAGUGUUAGAUUGAUUUGAUUCUUUAUUUUUUAUUAUUUCCGUGCUUAUUCAAAUAAAUAAUUUCAUGAAUAGAAAUCAUAUAGGUUAACAAAUAUCACAUAAAUACACUUCAUACUAUUAAAAAUUUAUGUUAAAAACUCAAAUCUAAAACAAUGUUUAGAGUGAUGUUUGUUUGACAUCAUAAGAUAUCUUUAUUAUGAGUUCACUGAGAUUAAUAAUUUUGCCUCAUCAACGUGAUUAAUUGUCAAUUAAGUUAUCAAACAUGUUUAGUAGCUGGUACAUAAUUUCACUGUAGAUGUUAUGUGAAGUACAUGAAAACAGCCAAUUAAUUCCAGACCAUAUAGUUAAAAUCUACCAACACAACUUGCCAUACUGCAGAGACCUCUAGAUAUUUUUUAAGUAAACUUAUGUUGUUUAAUUUCUGUCUUGUCUUUACAUAUAAAUCACUCUUCUAUUGGUUCAUAUGUAUGUCCACUUGGUUAAGCAUCGAUGACUACACACUUUGCAUUACCCAACCGUAAUUAUCAAGAUUCUUUCGUUGGUGUGCUUUCCUUUCAUAGUGUUCAGUAUGGUGCUUGUACUUCAGAUUUUAAAUAUUCUCAUCUUGAUAUUGUGACAUAUCUAAACUGUAUCAUAUAUUGGACUCGUACUCUAUUUAGAACAAAUAAUGUAUUUUUAUAGUUGUUAACUUUUUAAAUAUCUCUGUUUUACAAAUUAUAUUUAAUUAAUGUAAGAAUGUUUAGUGUUUUUUUAUUUUGCCUUUAUGUAAUUUACUCCAGCGAUCGUAGUUUCAAUUCCCAACAGGCCACGAUCAGAAUUUGGUAUUUGCUGCUUCUCUGAAAGGCUAAUUUAAGAGCAUUUUGAAAAAGAGAAAAAGAUUCGUCGACUCUGAAUCAAUUUAUUGUAUCCGAGUUUGAGAGUGUGUCUUCAAUAAACAUAUCC
This 2465-nucleotide long non-coding RNA is filed under the name Mytilus galloprovincialis (Mediterranean mussel). Lineage: Eukaryota; Metazoa; Mollusca; Bivalvia; Mytilida; Mytilidae. The record is from RNAcentral.